UGAGGUAGAGAGCACGACGAGAUUGGAGCCUUCGGAUACGAAAACGGAGGAGUGACAUCACGAGUUGAUGCCGUGGAGGAAGCUUGGUCUCAGCGAUUGAACAGAGCAUGACCACGAAUUCGACGAGACAAAGUCGACACAGAGCAGAGCACAGUGGUGAGGAGCUAAAAAAGACGAUUAGAGGUCGGGAUGAGCCAUACCUCUUUCGUGGAUUUCUCUUUUUUUU
Molecule: long non-coding RNA, 226 nt
Filed under: Brassica napus (rape)
Lineage: Eukaryota; Viridiplantae; Streptophyta; Magnoliopsida; Brassicales; Brassicaceae
Description: long non-coding RNA (BNAP_LNC015975)
Source: RNAcentral